RNAcentral lists this signal recognition particle RNA (101 nucleotides) under Planctomycetota bacterium. RNAcentral's name for it is "signal recognition particle sRNA small type". It matches the Rfam family "Bacterial small signal recognition particle RNA". Rfam says of the family: The signal recognition particle (SRP) is a universally conserved ribonucleoprotein involved in the co-translational targeting of proteins to membranes. Lineage: Bacteria; Pseudomonadati; Planctomycetota. The record is from RNAcentral.
GGCAGGAAGCUGUGCGGUGGAUAUUGUCCGAACUGGGUCAGGCCGGGAACGGAGCAGCCCUAAGGGUUUUAUAUCCAGGUGCUACGGAUUUUCUGUCUCCG